UUUAAAGAAAAAUUUUUAUUCUCUGCUUAAUGAAUAGUUUUUUAUAGCCGCAAUAGUGCUAAGGUAGCAUAAUAAUUAGUUUUUUAAUUGAAAAAUAGAAUGAAUGAGAAUAUUAAAUUAGUAGUUUCUAUUACAAAAAAUAAAUUUUUAUUAUUGGUGAAAAUACCAAUACAAACUUUUUAGACAAAAAGACCCUAUGAAGCUUUUUAGAUAAAUAUUUUAUAAAAAUAAAAAUCUAUUAUUUGGGGUAAAUGAUAAUAAAAUUAUUAUAAAUUUUAGAAUAAAAAAUAUCCUUUAGGAAUAAUGAAAUAGCUCCUCUAGGGAUAACAGCAUAAUAAUUAUUAAAGUCCAUAUUUAUAUAAUUGAUUAUGACCUCGAUGUUGAAUUAAGAAUCCUAAUAUGUGCAGCUGCUGAUUAGAAUAUGUCUGUUCGACAUAAAAAUUC
This 444-nucleotide ribosomal RNA is filed under the name Euchaeta acuta. RNAcentral's name for it is "partial 16S ribosomal RNA". The record is from RNAcentral. Lineage: Eukaryota; Metazoa; Arthropoda; Copepoda; Calanoida; Euchaetidae.